This 905-nucleotide ribosomal RNA is filed under the name Trichophyton mentagrophytes. RNAcentral's name for it is "LSU rRNA". It matches the Rfam family "Eukaryotic large subunit ribosomal RNA", at positions 44 to 964 of the family's 3401-position model. Lineage: Eukaryota; Fungi; Ascomycota; Eurotiomycetes; Onygenales; Arthrodermataceae. The record is from RNAcentral.
CAAUAAGCGGAGGAAAAGAAACCAACAGGGAUUGCCCCAGUAACGGCGAGUGAAGCGGCAAGAGCUCAAAUUUGAAAUCUGGCCUCCCCCGGGGGCCCGAGUUGUAAUUUGCAGAGGAUGCUUCGGGUGCGGCCGCCGUCUAAGUUCCUUGGAACAGGACGUCAGAGAGGGUGAGAAUCCCGUCUUGGGCGGGCGGUCCGCGCCCGUGUGAAGCUCCUUCGACGAGUCGAGUUGUUUGGGAAUGCAGCUCUAAGCGGGUGGUAAAUUUCAUCUAAAGCUAAAUAUUGGCCGGAGACCGAUAGCGCACAAGUAGAGUGAUCGAAAGGUUAAAAGCACCUUGAAAAGGGAGUUAAACAGCACGUGAAAUUGUUGAAAGGGAAGCGCUUGCGGCCAGACUCGGGGGCGGGGUUCAGCGGGUGCUCGUCGCCCGUGUAUUCCUCGUCUCCCGGGCCAGCAUCAGUUUCGACGGCCGGUCAAAGGCCCCCGGAAUGUGUCGUCUCUCGGGACGUCUUAUAGCCGGGGGUGCAAUGCGGCCCGUCGGGACUGAGGAACGCGCUCCGGCUCGGAUGCUGGCGUAAUGGCCGUAAGCGGCCCGUCUUGAAACACGGACCAAGGAGUCUAACAUCCACGCGAGUGUUCGGGUGUCAAACCCGUGCGCGCAGUGAAAGCGAACGGAGGUGGGAGCCUUAGGGCGCACCAUCGACCGAUCCUGAAGUCUUCGGAUGGAUUUGAGUAGGAGCGUGGCCGUUGGGACCCGAAAGAUGGUGAACUAUGCCUGAAUAGGGUGAAGCCAGAGGAAACUUCUGGUGGAGGCUCGCAGCGGUUUCUGACGUGCAAAUCGAUCGUCAAAUUUGGGCAUAGGGGCGAAAGACUAAUCGAACCAUCUAGUAGCUGGUUCCUGCCGA